GAUAAAGAGAGAUCAGAAAUACAAGAGGCAGAGGAAGCAAGGUUGAAGAGGAUUAGGGAUCACAUCACAGCAUGCAAAUACUUAACUUACCUGUAGACGUUGAUCUGACUGAAAUGGAUUGGUUUGAUUUUUAAGUGUUGUAUCAAGUUGUAUUGCUACUCUGCCAAAAAAUUAAUCGCUGCCUAGCUAUAAUUAUUUUAAAGUAAAAUUGUUUUUCCAAAUACAUUUUAUUUAAUAAUUUGUGUGAUUAUAGUUUGUUCUUUAGUGACUCCUUUUUGUUGCAAGUCCCCACAAUUAAUUGUUGUAUAGCUUUAAAUUUUUAUUGUUAAAAUUAUUUUUCAUCAUUUCUGUUAUAAAUCUGCA
Molecule: long non-coding RNA, 363 nt
Organism: Amphimedon queenslandica
Lineage: Eukaryota; Metazoa; Porifera; Demospongiae; Haplosclerida; Niphatidae
Exons: 2
Source: RefSeq, a predicted model, not a curated record